UGGGGAAUAUUGCACAAUGGGCGAAAGCCUGAUGCAGCGACGCCGCGUGAGGGAUGACGGCCUUCGGGUUGUAAACCUCUUUCGACAGGGACGAAGCGUAAGUGACGGUACCUGUAGAAGAAGCACCGGCCAACUACGUGCCAGCAGCCGCGGUAAUACGUAGGGUGCGAGCGUUGUCCGGNAUUACUGGGCGUAAAGAGCUUGUAGGCGGUUUGUCGCGUCGUCUGUGAAAACUCACAGCUCAACUGUGAGCUUGCAGGCGAUACGGGCAGACUUGAGUACUGCAGGGGAGACUGGAAUUCCUGGUGUAGCGGUGAAAUGCGCAGAUAUCAGGAGGAACACCGGUGGCGAAGGCGGGUCUCUGGGCAGUAACUGACGCUGAGAAGCGAAAGCGUGGGUAGCGAACAGGAUUAGAUACCCUGGUAGUCCACGCCGUANCGGUGGGUACUAGGUGUGGGUUUCCUUCCACGGGAUCCGUGCCGUAGCUACGCAUUAANUACCCCGCCUGGGGAGUACGGCCGCAAGGC
This 527-nucleotide ribosomal RNA is filed under the name uncultured bacterium. RNAcentral describes it as "bacterial SSU rRNA". It matches the Rfam family "Bacterial small subunit ribosomal RNA", at positions 355 to 894 of the family's 1533-position model. The record is from RNAcentral.